RNAcentral lists this ribosomal RNA (376 nucleotides) under uncultured bacterium. RNAcentral describes it as "bacterial SSU rRNA". It matches the Rfam family "Bacterial small subunit ribosomal RNA", at positions 524 to 898 of the family's 1533-position model. The record is from RNAcentral.
UACGUAGGUGACAAGCGUUAUCCGGAAUUACUGGGCGUAAAGCGCACGCAGGCGGCUGAUUAAGUCUGACGUGAAAUCUCCCGGCUUAACUGGGAGGGGUCGUUGGAAACUGGUUGGCUUGAGGCAGUGAGAGGGGUGUGGAAUUCCCGGUGUAGUGGUGGAAUGCGUAGAUAUCGGGAGGAACACCAGUGGCGAAAGCGGCACCCUGGCACUGGCCUGACGCUCAUGUGCGAAAGCGUGGGUAGCGAACGGGAUUAGAUACCCCGGUAGUCCACGCUGUAAACGAUGAGUACUAGGUGUGGGUGGAGUCAAAUCUAUCUGUGCCGAAGCAAACGCGCUAAGUACUCCGCCUGGGGAGUACGGCCGCAAGGCUAAA